CGCGGGGUGGAGCAGCUCGGUAGCUCGCUGGGCUCAUAACCCAGAGGUCGCAGGUUCAAAUCCUGUCCCCGCU
This 73-nucleotide transfer RNA is filed under the name Actinoplanes nipponensis. RNAcentral describes it as "Amorphoplanes nipponensis tRNA-Met". It matches the Rfam family "tRNA". From Rfam's summary of the family: Transfer RNA (tRNA) molecules are approximately 80 nucleotides in length. The record is from RNAcentral. Lineage: Bacteria; Bacillati; Actinomycetota; Actinomycetes; Micromonosporales; Micromonosporaceae. RNAcentral also lists the same sequence under 11 other names.